RNAcentral lists this unclassified non-coding RNA (287 nucleotides) under Glomus sp. RNAcentral describes it as "partial contains 5.8S ribosomal RNA and internal transcribed spacer 2". The stretch from base 1 to 65 matches the Rfam family "5.8S ribosomal RNA", at positions 84 to 154 of the family's 154-position model. The record is from RNAcentral. Lineage: Eukaryota; Fungi; Glomeromycota; Glomeromycetes; Glomerales; Glomeraceae.
GUGAAUCAUCGAAUCUUUGAACGCACAUUGCACUCUCCUCGGAGAGUAUGCCUGUUUGUGGGUCAGCCUCCAAAAAAUCGACAUCGUUGCUGUUUCGCGGUGGCGUUCGUCGGAAAUUGGGUCAUCUUAUAUCUUUUGGUUUUACGCUACUUAAAAUUUUCUUUUGGUUCCAUUAACGUUUCUAUGAUCUAUUUCUUUACACGCUUACGGUAUCGAUUUUUACUUGACCUGUCCAUCAUAUCGGAUCGUGUCCAUAAUCUUUCAUUAACUGACCUCCUACUGGUCAG